This is a long non-coding RNA of Symphalangus syndactylus (siamang), 464 nucleotides long. RefSeq lists it as uncharacterized. Lineage: Eukaryota; Metazoa; Chordata; Mammalia; Primates; Hylobatidae. The record is from RefSeq and is a predicted model, not a curated record.
UUUCCUGCCACCAGAGUGACGAAUGCUUUGAUAUGUUCCUGAGUUUCUGUGAUGCUCUGCCAUGAAGUCCUGUAACUCAUCUCACUGAUGGUGUUGAUCUCAAGCUGAAGAGAAGCUCUUGGAGGACAGGAAGAUGGUCUGCAGCAUUGUGUCUCCCACCCAACCUGACAUAGCCUUUGGCAGCUGGAACUCAGUAACUCUACUGGACACUAGUUUAAACCAAUGCUGGGGCUAAGAAGACUGCCAACCAGCACCUGUCCUGAACCUGAAGGCACGAAGAAUUCUCCUGUGUUUUGCUAGGCUCGAUUUAUACACAGCUACUGCUCUUUUACUGUGUAAAGCAUGCCUGAAUUGAGCACACAGGCAUCAUCCAUCCAAGAUGCACAUUUUUGUUCUGUUACCUAACAAAGAGGAACCCCUGACCAUUCUUCAACAUAUUGGAGCAACAAAGUUGACUCCCACAC